CCUACGGGGGACUGCAGUGAGGAAUAUUGGUCAAUGGGCGGAAGCCUGAACCAGCCAAGUAGCGUGCAGGAUGACGGCCCGACGGGUUGUAAACUGCUUUUAUACGGGAAUAACGCGCCUUACGUGUAGGGCUUUGCAUGUACCGUAUGAAAAAGGACCGGCUAAUUCCGUGCCAACAGCCGCGGUAAUACGGAAGGUCCGGGCGUUAUCCGGAUUUAUUGGGGUUAAAGGGAGCGUCGGCCGCAUGUCAAGCGUGCUGGGAAAUGUCCGGGCUAAACCCGGGCCUUGCAGCGCGAACUGGCGUGCUUGCGUCCGCGUCAAGCAGGCGGAAUUCGUCGUGUAGCGGU
RNAcentral lists this ribosomal RNA (347 nucleotides) under uncultured bacterium. RNAcentral describes it as "partial 16S ribosomal RNA". It matches the Rfam family "Bacterial small subunit ribosomal RNA", at positions 338 to 682 of the family's 1533-position model. The record is from RNAcentral.